GUAACACAUCGGAACGUACCCAGUAGCGGGGGAUAGCCCGGCGAAAGCCGGAUUAAUACCGCAUACGCCCUACGGGGGAAAGGGGGGGAUCGUAAGACCUCUCACUAUUGGAGCGGCCGAUGGCUGAUUAGCUAGUUGGUGGGGUAAAGGCCUACCAAGGCAACGAUCAGUAGCUGGUCUGAGAGGACGACCAGCCACACUGGGACUGAGACACGGCCCAGACUCCUACGGGAGGCAGCAGUGGGGAAUUUUGGACAAUGGGCGAAAGCCUGAUCCAGCAAUGCCGCGUGUGCGAAGAAGGCCUUCGGGUUGUAAAGCACUUUUGUCAGGGAAGAAAUCGUUCGGGCUAAUACCUCGGGCAGUUGACGGUACCUGAAGAAUGAGCACCGGCUAACUACGUGCCAGCAGCCGCGGUAAUACGUAGGGUGCAAGCGUUAAUCGGAAUUACUGGGCGUAAAGCGUGCGCAGGUGGUUUGUUAAGACAGUUGUGGAAUCCCCGGGCUUAACCUGGGAACUGCAAUUGUGACUGGCGGACUAGAGUUUGGCAGAGGGGGGUGGAAUUCCUGGUGUAGCAGUGAAAUGCGUAGAUAUCAGGAGGAACACCGAUGGCGAAGGCAGCCCCCUGGGCCAUGACUGACACUCAUGCA
RNAcentral lists this ribosomal RNA (647 nucleotides) under uncultured bacterium. RNAcentral's name for it is "bacterial SSU rRNA". It matches the Rfam family "Bacterial small subunit ribosomal RNA", at positions 110 to 753 of the family's 1533-position model. The record is from RNAcentral.